RNAcentral lists this ribosomal RNA (364 nucleotides) under uncultured bacterium. RNAcentral describes it as "partial 16S ribosomal RNA". It matches the Rfam family "Bacterial small subunit ribosomal RNA", at positions 338 to 699 of the family's 1533-position model. The record is from RNAcentral.
CCUACGGGUGGCAGCAGUGAGGAAUAUUGGUCAAUGGCCGGAAGGCUGAACCAGCCAUGCCGCGUGAAGGUCAGUGCCCUAUGGGCGUUAAACUUCUUUUGUGCGGGAGCAAUGAUGGUCACGUGUGGCCAGACGAGAGUACCGUACGAAUAAGCAUCAGCUAACUCCGUGCCAGCAGCAGCGGUAAUACGGGGGAUGCAAGCGUUAUCCGGAUUUAGUGGGUGUAAAGGGUGCGUAGGCUGUGAGGUAAGUCAGCGGGGAAAUGCCCCCGCUCAACGGGGGGAAGUGCCAUUGAUACUGGCUUGCUAGAAUGCGGAAGCGGGGGGAAGAAUGCGAGGUGUAGCGGUGAAAUGCAUAGAGAUGA